Molecule: long non-coding RNA, 3505 nt
Organism: Biomphalaria glabrata
Lineage: Eukaryota; Metazoa; Mollusca; Gastropoda; Planorbidae
Exons: 15
Source: RefSeq, a predicted model, not a curated record
UCACCUAAUUUCUGUAGGUAUGCGCGGGUCGCAUAAAACAGUAAGGCGGACCUCAUGUGGCCUGUGGGACGUAAUUUGCACACCUCUGAUCUAGUAAAUCCGAUCCAUGUCUCUUAUCUAUGAGUAUAUAAUCUAUUUGAUUCUGGGUGUUCCAUAGAGUGAGAUCCAGGUUACCUUGUGAAUACUCUCAUGUUAAAAUUUAGUGUUGCAGAUAGACAUUCCUUUUCCUGAUGCAAAAUUCACUAAUCUUAUGCCAUUAUUGUUUGACUAUUCAUGUAAGCUUUCUUUGCCAAUUGUUGGUCUGAAUGCUGGUUCUUUUCCAAUUUUUGCAUUAAAAUCUCCUAGGACUAUUUUGAUGUCAUGCUUUGGUGCUUCAUCAUAAAUUCUUUCCAGUCCAUCAUAGAAGGCUUCUUUUCUGUUAUCAUCUGCAUUUUCUUUAGGGGUAUGGACAUUGAUGAAUAAUGUGUUGAAGAAUUUUCCUCUCAAACGUAGUGAGCAGAGUCUAUCACUUACAGGUUUAAAUCCAAUGACAUUACCUGCCAUUUUCUUUUUACAGUAAAACCUGUACCUAAGUUAAUGCUUCCACCACUAUAAAAUAUAGUAUACUCCUUGGUUCUGAGAAUGUCUUUCCACCUGGUUUCCUGUAUGGCUACAAGAGGUAUCCUUUAUUUCUUUAACACUUCAGUAAGUUGGGCUAGCGCACCUGCUCUAUAAAGGCUUUGCACGUUCCAUGUUGCAAAACAAAAAUCAUGUCUUUUCCAGGCCAAGGCUGUUUUCCUUUGAGAUCUGUCCAGGUUUUCUUGUGAGUAGAAGCUUUCAGGACAGUAUUUGUUUUUUAUAUGACAAAGUAGUUAGCCCUGCGCACAACCUUCUGGGGGACUGCCCCUUUCAUCUCUCUGGAUAGCUGCCUUUAUUUUCAGAAUAGAGAUGUAAUUCUGCUGUGUCCCCGUGAGUUGGAAACCAGUAAGCAAGUCUUCUAAUAGAGGUCUGAUAGAGUCAUGUACAUCAAGCGAUCAGCACUAAAAGAUGUGGACCUGAUGUGGUGUCAAGCUGAUGAAGCUUUUGCUUUCUUCUUUUGGCUGUUCGUUUAACACAAGACAAAGCACAGACUGAUCGUCAUACCAUUUUAAGAUCCUGGGAUGUGAAAGACUUUGCACCGGACUGUCGUCAGUAUCUUUACCUCUUCCAUGCCGGCAAUAAAAUACAUCUGAAACUUGUUGCUCUUGGAAAUCCUAUGCCGAACUGGGAGUCGAACACUUAGUGAGGUUGUGACUGAACGUCGCAUGAGGUUUGCGGGACAUGUUCUACGUCAAAAUGAAUUACGCACACCAAGAGUUGCGAUAACAUGGAAGCCAAAACAAGGAAAGCGCAAACAGGGACGUCCUCGUAUUACCUGGCGACACACCUUCAUGGAGGACCUCAGAACAGUGGACACCAGGUGGGAGGAGGCUUCAGACAUUACCAGUGACAGAUCAUUAUGGAGACAGCUUGCCGCCCAAUGCGCCGAACGGCGCCGGAGGACCUAUGUCUAAAAUGUUGAGUCAGAUAUUGAAGCCAGAGCUUUGUAUCUAAGUCAAAGACCACUAGUAUUUGACAGUGUUUACAGAGGACAAGAUGUCCCAGCUCAGUCCAAAAUUCAUAAAGACUGUGUCUCAGCGAAGCAUAAGAGUUGGUCUUGGAUUCAAACAGUCAAUGAAUGUUUAGGCAUUCAUAGUGAAAAUACUGCUAACUAUCAUCAGUUCUACCAUGAUGUUUGCCACCUGGAAGAAGACAUGCUUUCAUUCUUGCUUUGGAUGGACAGUUCAACAGCUAGAGCUCAAGUCAAGACUCAUGAUCCUGAUGUCAUGUUAAAACAUUUCAGAUUAAUAAACAUAUGUUGGACUAUCAGGGCUAGUUAGAUCUUCUCACAGAGCGAAGUUGAGAUAUUCACCCAGUUCAUCACCGCCAAGAACUGCCAGAAUGGCAUUUGAAGGCUAGAGCUCUUGUCCAAUAUCAGCACAAACAUGUGUCAUUAGCAAAAGGGGACUUUGUCAAGAUUUUGGAAAAUUCUGAUGCUGAAAGAUGGAAAUAUGGAAUAGAAAGUGAAGUCCCUGGUAUUGUGUUGGUCAUUCCUUCCUGCUUCCAACAGAUUGAUAAAUUAAGAGAACAAAUCAAGGUCAAUAGUUCUAUUGCUGCUAAAAGAUUAAGGUCACAUUUGAUCCAGUUUUUAAGUGCUGCUAUUUCCCAGACACAGUCCAAAGAUAUGGUGAAUGAGGCAGCAGACAUCUUGAAAGGAGCUGAUUUCAAGUUCCUUCAACAGUCUUUUCAUUUUAUUUAGGAAGAAGCUCAUCAGUCACUUCAAACCAGGUGAUGAUGGAGUCAUAAACAGUAGGAUACAGAGGUGAAACAAAACUGGAGCUUUAGUUUGUUUGUUUGUAGAACUUGGCAUCUACUCCAGACAUUAUUCUGAAGAACACUCAAGUAAAAGAAAAGAAGAAAUGUUAAAGGUUAAGGACUUGAGCUCCAAUCAUACUUACACUUCAAAAGCUUUAAUUUGAAAGGUCUUAUAUUUUUGUGGAAAUAAAUUUUACUAGUGGAGUUUUUGUAGCUGCCAGAGUGGAUCAAGGUGGAUGUGAUAUCUAUUUAUAAACAUGUAUACCAGUAUAUUGUAAUCAGUGAUUUUCAUUUUUUGGUAACAGUUUGUUUCCAUUUAGAUUGCAGUCUUUCUUAUGUGAAAACAAGAUGUCUGCAUAAUCUUAGAGGACAUUUUUAAACUCAUUUAAAUUUAUUAGAUGAAAUAUUUAUAAAACAUACAAUGUAAAUUGUUUUGUAAAAUGAUUAUACAUUUGAGUUCAUAAAAAUGUGUAAUUUUUUAAUGGCAUCAUGUUUCUGCUUAUCUGUAUCUGAUACUGAUGAUGUGUUUUCUAAAUCUAUUACUGCUUCACCAUUGAGGAAAAACUGCACAUGUUUAAACCCAUAUCUGAAGUAACUUUCCAGAAAAAAAAAAGAUGUAUGUUGGACAGUGUCCAAAAUUUCAAAUCAUUUCCUUCAAAAUGUUAUCAAUUUCCUCCAUAACUUCAUAACAUUAUUGAAUUUUUUCCUUCAGAACACAAUUGUAAAUUAUCUUUCUUUUUUUUUUUUUUUUUGUUAAACCACAAUGAGAGUCUAAUAACUAAUAGUCUAGCAAACAAUUACUUAUAAUUUGCCUUAUUAUUAUACAAUAUUAAGAUUUACUUCUGCAGGGAUGAAAAACUUUUUUUAAAAUACAAUAGACAUGUAUAAUAAUAAAGUACAUUCACACCUGACUCACUCAUAAUUUACAUGUGAAAAGUUUAUAUCAGAUUGUUUCUAUUUAAUGAUUUGAUUGCCAUCAGUGUCUUGUAUCUCUUUUGUGAUGGUAAAGUCACAAAAUGUAGGAAACCCCACUGUGUUUGGUCCAGUAUGUGGGUUAUUAUAUGUAAGUCUAUUGUAUUUUCUAUAUUAUUUUACAAAUGUAAAAAAAAUAAAAAGAAAUUGUUACACUGUU